Non-coding RNA from Rhodofomes roseus, 80 nucleotides. Lineage: Eukaryota; Fungi; Basidiomycota; Agaricomycetes; Polyporales; Fomitopsidaceae. The record is from the annotation of a RefSeq genome assembly.
GGUGCUAUGGUGUAGUGGUUAGCACUCGGGAUUUUGAGCAGCGUCUUCCCGCGACUCAGGUUCGAACCCUGAUAGCACCU